GACAGAGGGUGCAAACGUUGUUCGGAAUCACUGGGCGUAAAGCGUGUGUAGGCGGCCAUACAAGUCGGAUGUGAAAGCCCUGGGCUCAACCCAGGAAGUGCACCCGAAACUGUGUGGCUUGAGUACUGGAGAGGUUGGUGGAAUUCUCGGUGUAGAGGUGAAAUUCGUAGAUAUCGAGAGGAACACCGGUGGCGAAGGCGGCCAACUGGACAGAUACUGACGCUGAGACACGAAAGCGUGGGGAGCGAACAGG
RNAcentral lists this ribosomal RNA (253 nucleotides) under uncultured bacterium. Its description in RNAcentral is "partial 16S ribosomal RNA". It matches the Rfam family "Bacterial small subunit ribosomal RNA", at positions 524 to 776 of the family's 1533-position model. The record is from RNAcentral.